This 443-nucleotide ribosomal RNA is filed under the name uncultured bacterium. RNAcentral describes it as "bacterial SSU rRNA". It matches the Rfam family "Bacterial small subunit ribosomal RNA", at positions 28 to 478 of the family's 1533-position model. The record is from RNAcentral.
GAUGAACGCUGGCGGCGUGCUUAACACAUGCAAGUCGAACGGGAUCCCAGGAGCUUGCUCCUGGGUGAGAGUGGCGAACGGGUGAGUAAUGCGUGACCGACCUGCCCCAUACACCGGAAUAGCUCCUGGAAACGGGUGGUAAUGCCGGAUGCUCCAGUUGGAUGCAUGUCCUUCUGGGAAAGAUUCUAUCGGUAUGGGAUGGGGUCGCGUCCUAUCAGCUUGAUGGCGGGGUAACGGCCCACCAUGGCUUCGACGGGUAGCCGGCCUGAGAGGGCGACCGGCCACAUUGGGACUGAGAUACGGCCCAGACUCCUACGGGAGGCAGCAGUGGGGAAUAUUGCACAAUGGGCGCAAGCCUGAUGCAGCGACGCCGCGUGCGGGAUGACGGCCUUCGGGUUGUAAACCGCUUUUGACUGGGAGCAAGCCCUUCGGGGUGAGUGUAC